CGAUGAAGCCCAGCUUGCUGGGUGGAUUAGUGGCGAACGGGUGAGUAACACGUGAGUAACCUGCCCUUGACUCUGGGAUAAGCGUUGGAAACGACGUCUAAUACCGGAUACGAGCUUCCACCGCAUGGUGAGUUGCUGGAAAGAAUUUUGGUCAAGGAUGGACUCGCGGCCUAUCAGCUUGUUGGUGAGGUAAUGGCUCACCAAGGCGACGACGGGUAGCCGGCCUGAGAGGGUGACCGGCCACACUGGGACUGAGACACGGCCCAGACUCCUACGGGAGGCAGCAGUGGGGAAUAUUGCACAAUGGGCGAAAGCCUGAUGCAGCAACGCCGCGUGAGGGACGACGGCCUUCGGGUUGUAAACCUCUUUUAGCAGGGAAGAAGCGAAAGUGACGGUACCUGCAGAAAAAGCACCGGCUAACUACGUGCCACGCAGACCGCGGUAAU
Molecule: ribosomal RNA, 446 nt
Filed under: Plantibacter sp.
Lineage: Bacteria; Bacillati; Actinomycetota; Actinomycetes; Micrococcales; Microbacteriaceae
Description: bacterial SSU rRNA
Rfam family: Bacterial small subunit ribosomal RNA
Source: RNAcentral